This 71-nucleotide transfer RNA is filed under the name Araneus ventricosus. RNAcentral's name for it is "tRNA-Gly". The record is from RNAcentral. Lineage: Eukaryota; Metazoa; Arthropoda; Arachnida; Araneae; Araneidae.
UGUGUCGGCGGGAGUCGAACCCGGGUCAACUGCUUGGAAGGCAGCUAUGCUAACCGUUAUACCACCGACAC